ACAGAAUAACUCUAUAAGAUUGGCAGCAUCAUUUCCACCCAUUUUACAGGUGAGGAAAUUGAGGCUUACAGAUGAUGAGUCAUUUCACAAGCAAAUAUGGAGCAGAGCCUAAAAUCUAACCUAGGCAGUUCAAAACCUGCAGUCUUACUACUACCUUGCCUUACUGUGCCAGCCCUUUAACCUACAGGUAAACCAGAGAACUAAGCUAGAAUUACAAUAAAGUAUUUUGAGAGGGGAAGUGAGGCAGGAUAGUUAGUCAAGGAAGUGACCAUGUUCUCGGGAUGCAGCAUUGGUGGUGACCUCACAGCCAACACAAUAAGCCUUGGCAUUCACAUCAUAAAUGAGCUCAUUUAAGCAAAGCUAUCUUCAGGAGGGACUGUCCCUUCUCUAGGGCAUGUGCAUUUUGAUUUUAAUUGUCAUCAAACUGACCCUUUGCUCAUUUAUAGUAAAAAACACACCCCUGGGUGGAGAUUUAAGAUGCUAAUGAGACAUGUGAUAUAUGAACACAAACAUACAGCUACAGUGCAUGUGCACCCAGAGGACCACCCAGAACAUGCUUACUAGCAACACCUCUUCCCAACUCCUUAUGAAUUAUCAUGUAAGACUCCCACAAAGGGGGUUUCUCUAGCAAUAAUCAACACUGCCUCACCCUUGCAAGCAGCCCACCCUGAACUCUCUCUCUCAGGGUAUACUGUCUAUUCUGCAUCUAACUUUCAAAAUACUCUUUUCCUUUUGCAGUGAAUGACUCUCUGCCGCAUCUCCUUUGCUGUGUGUCUUUUGUUUAAAUUCUUUUAAACUAAGAAGACAAGAACCGAGGUAUCACAACAGCCAUUAACAGAAGUAUUGGGUGUUGCAAUUGGAAUCCUAAUAACCAACAGUGAGAGUUGGCCUACGCCCUUCACAGAGGGCAGUGGAUACAGAAGUUAGCCUGGUGAAGCAAGGGGGGCACAAUGAAGGAAAAGUGUCCUCAGCCCAGGGAUCUCCUGUUUCAGGGCUGGAUACGAGAAAGGAGGCCAGUGUGGUACACUGAAGAGACUUAAAUAACUAAGUAAAGCAAGUAUGUGGGGUUGGAGGCGGAGGAAUGUCAGGAAUGAGAUGGAGGCAGGGGCCGCAUAGUGAGUAGUGCUUUAAAAUUCAUGUUAGGGAGUUUGGUUUUUAUCCAAAGGGCAAUGAGAAGAAAAACAAAAACAAAAACAAAGAUUUUAAGCAGGCGCCACAGGAUCAGGCUUGCAUUUGAAAAUGCUCUCCAGCUCUUGCCCUGUCAAGAAUGGAUUAGAGGGAAACAAUACUGGGUGCAAGGAGAAUGUCAAGAAAACAGCAAAGUUCGUCUUAUUGAGGCAUCCAGUAAAGCUCCACAGAGAAAUCAUUCCCUCGUGUCUCUUCUGCACUCGGCCUUGGCAGGAUAAGAUGAAGAGGACGCAGUCCCUACCUCAGGCCUCCUCUCUUAGACCCUGGCCCAGCCUCCUCCACCAGGCUGUCCUCCAUCCUUCUCCUCAGGCCCCACCAGCUGCUGCUUGCUACAGCAUUCUCUUCAGGGAAGUCCUGAGGAUGCUGCCAGAAGAUACUGAACACCAAGGAGGGGACUCACUCACUGCCAACCACGACUUCCACAGAAAGCUUGGGAAUUGGGGAAUGGCAUGAUCAAAGCCUUGCUUUAUUAUGCAGAGCAAAUUUUUUUUUUUUGAGGGAGCAUUUGUGUGGAGAAUAGUGAGGAAGGGAACUAAGUGAUGAGAGCCUAAGUCAGAGCAAUGGCAGAAGAAAUUGAACAUAAUAGAACGGUUUAUGUUUGGUACCACACUUUGAAGGGUAAUGUAUGUUAUUUGUUCUUUAUCAUAGUCAACAACAAAUCUAGAUUUGCUUUAUGCACAGGAAGUAUUUAAUAUUAGUUAGGUUUAAUUUGAUUCAAUGCAUUUUAAGUUAACCAAUGAGCCCUAUUGAACUCAUAAGGAAACUAAAGCCGAGUAAGGUUAACUGACUUGCCCACAGUUAAAGGGUUGGAAAGUUUUGGAGCCAAGGGUGAAACCCAGGUCUCCUUAAUUCAAAAUCCAAGGCUUCAAUCAUGACACCAGUUGCCACAAAUCUGUGGCAUAUAUGGUGAUUCUAUUUCUUUGCCACCACAGACAUUGCUAAUCGAUUUCCUACGCAAGCUUGGAUAUGGCCUCAGAAUCCUUCCAAACACAGGGCUCCAGAGACCCACCUCAAAUCAACUUUUCUGUAUCCUGGCAGGAUAGCAUGCUCUCUCUCCAAGAUAAAGGAAGGAAAAUGGUAGAGGUGAUUUGCGGGCAGAAGCAUUAUCACUUGGCAGCUGUGGGCGUAGAUUGUGAGAAAGAGAAAAGGGUAGGCAUCAGGAAUGAUGAAGGAUGUAAGCCUGGGGGAUGAGGGGGAUGGUGACACUAAUUAACAGAAUAAUGGAACUGGAACAGAAGCAGAGCUGUAACAUGGUGAAUGUGGUCUUGAGGUGUUGUCCAGUUCUUAAGGCGGUGGGGGGUGCUGUGACAAUGACAGGUGAAGGCUGCUGCUUAUGGAAAGACACAGGCAGGGCCUCCUAACACUUCUAGCAAUUUCAGCCCCCGAAACAGUGACAACUGUGGAUCCUAAAGGCAUAUGUCCAAAAGAUGCUGGCCAAACAUUUCAGAAAAGAUGAAAUAAGGAGGUCUCAAAGUCCUGCUUUUCAAGACACUGCUAGGAAUCUUUUUGCAAAGCAAGAAAAUUCUUUUAUCAUUCAAACAAUUAAAUAAUAAUUAAAAUAAUUAAAUAUAAAUAAUUAAAAUUAAAAUUUUCAUACACCAGGUUUCAUUUCAGUGGGAAGAAUGGGGCAGGGAAAGAAAAUGGCUCUUCAGCAGCCUUCUCAGUGACAAUUAUAAACAAUUUCUGUAAAACUUCACACCCUAAAUGAAGCACCAAACCUGAAGUGCUUAAUCAAAACAAGAUGUUUUGAUUGAAAGAAAGCUUUGAUGAGUUGCUUCUAUCAAUUGCCCUUCAGCAUAAGAUUAGAAAUGCAAAGGCUUCUAUCAUCCCCAUGAUGUUCUUUAAACUUCAUUAUGUCAGGCACACAUGGCAAAUUAAACAGAAUGCUACAGAAAGUGUCUGGCCAUAAGAGGAGGCAGAGGCACUGCUUACAGAAACCUUGCUAGACAACUAAUUGAACAGUUUUCUAACCUCAGAACAGACGUGCUUUCUAUUAUUUAGCAUUUAAUAUGCUUCCUCUCUCUCUCUCAUUUCUUUUUACCUUUAGCUUGUUUCUUCCUAUUUCAUUGCCAUCUACUUUAUAAAUGUCUUGAUCAAAUUAUAAAGUUAUAACAUUAUACAGAUUCUAUUUGGUCCCAUAUGGCUAAUGUCAACCAGAGAGCCUUUAAUAUUUUCUAAGGAACAGGAUAUCAUAUUUAAUGCCCUCAAAACUAAUUUCAAGCUAAAAAAUGUUGAAGGCUAUACAUACACACACACACACACACGAAUGUUCUACAACAAGACUAUCCACCCCCUCCAAAGUCAAGCUUUGAUAUAUGCCCUAACAAAAUAAAAAAAAAAUUCAAAUAUGCUUUACAACAAACUACUAAAAACCACAGACCAACAUAAUUUCUUUAGAAGCAUAAAGUCACUUGUGAUCCAUAUGCCAAAAGCAUAACAAAAUGCAAAAAAAGCCCUUAAGUUCAUUGAUUGACCUAACAAUAUCAAUUUUUCUCUACACUUCAGUGAAUUAUAUACAUGAAAGAAUAUUUCGAUCUUAGGAAUUCUUCAUCUGGUUAGUUUUGUUUCCAGUGAAGCAAACAUCAAACAGGGUCUUAUAUGUUUAUGGAUAGGUACAAAUCCAUGGAAAAGAUUCCAAUUACUUUUUUUUUUUUAAAGUUUAAAGCUGUGUGUUAUGUGCAGAGGGGGUAGUACAAAGAGCUAUGGAUAUUCUAAACCAAAUAUUAAAACAGCAUUUCAAGCAGCUCAAAGUAUCAUACAACAUUUUCAGUAGUAAGGAAAUUUCACUCAGCAGCAAUAUUUUUAAUAGAAAAACUUUUUUGUUUUUGAGACAG
Molecule: long non-coding RNA, 4022 nt
Filed under: Homo sapiens (human)
Lineage: Eukaryota; Metazoa; Chordata; Mammalia; Primates; Hominidae
Description: HSALNT0372666
Source: RNAcentral